This 67-nucleotide transfer RNA is filed under the name Macroscelides proboscideus (short-eared elephant shrew). Its description in RNAcentral is "tRNA-Val". It matches the Rfam family "tRNA". Rfam says of the family: Transfer RNA (tRNA) molecules are approximately 80 nucleotides in length. Their secondary structure includes four short double-helical elements and three loops (D, anti-codon, and T loops). The record is from RNAcentral. Lineage: Eukaryota; Metazoa; Chordata; Mammalia; Macroscelidea; Macroscelididae.
CAAAGGUGUAGCUUAUACAAAGCACCUGGUUUACACCCAGAAGAUUUCAUUUACAUGACCACUUUGA